RNAcentral lists this RNase P RNA (419 nucleotides) under Tannerella sp. oral taxon BU063 isolate Cell 2. RNAcentral's name for it is "bacterial RNase P". It matches the Rfam family "Bacterial RNase P class A". From Rfam's summary of the family: Ribonuclease P (RNase P) is a ubiquitous endoribonuclease, found in archaea, bacteria and eukarya as well as chloroplasts and mitochondria. Its best characterised activity is the generation of mature 5'-ends of tRNAs by cleaving the 5'-leader elements of precursor-tRNAs. The record is from RNAcentral. Lineage: Bacteria; Pseudomonadati; Bacteroidota; Bacteroidia; Bacteroidales; Tannerellaceae.
ACAGUCGGCCGGUCUGUCGCUCGUGGAGCCGUGUUGAAAUACCGGCUACGGGAUGCCAUUCAGAAAUGGGUAGCGUCUCCCGAGAGGAAAGUCCGGGCAACACAGGGCACCAUCCUUCCUAACGGGAAGCUGUCGGCGACGGCAGAGUAAGCGUAACAGAAAAGAACCGCCGGGCGCACUGCGCUCGGUAAGGGUGAAAAGGCGAGGUAAGAGCUCACCGCCCCAGUCGGAAUACGGGGGGACAGUACGCCUGAUGGGUUGUAAGGUCAUGUAUACCGGCGCAUCAAGGGCUGCCCGCCCAAUGCCGGGGGGUAGACUGCACAGAGCCUGUCGGCAACGGCAAGGCCAAGAUAAAUGACAGACGCACCGCCGCUCCCCGCGGUGGCGUACAGAACCCGGCUUAUAGGCCGGCUGUCCCU